Molecule: unclassified non-coding RNA, 766 nt
Filed under: Zea mays
Lineage: Eukaryota; Viridiplantae; Streptophyta; Magnoliopsida; Poales; Poaceae
Description: misc RNA Zm00001eb087150
Source: RNAcentral
UGUGGACCGCUGCUCGUCUCUCCCUCAGACCCUCACGACAUCUGCUCUCCCACGCGUCCUGCUCACACAGGAUAUCACUCCCUCAGUUAUUUCUUCCUCUAAUAUCUCACGAGCUUGGCUCGCCUCGCCUCUCUGCUCUCUCCUUGUCCUCCUGUUGCCGUGCUGCAAAACUAUAGCACGCCGGAGCAAUGGACGGGCUCAACUACAGCAAGUUGCGCUCCUCGCUCCGGCCUCGGCUCCAAGCGUUCUCCGGCGUCCUCUUCUCCAGUUUGCGCUCCCUAGACGGGCUCCUGCACAUGGCGUCUGUCGCCGUCUUGCAGUUUGUCCACGAUCCGCACGAUGAUCCACCAGUGCUAGGCUGCGUACACUUGACUCUAGCUCGCGUAUAUGCCUUGGAUCGAGCUCGCUCUCUUUCUCUCGUCAAGGACCACUUCACAACCUUGGGAAAAGACCUCACCGUCAUUGGGUACUGCUGCGAUGAUGCUGAACCCCGUCGUCGACAACUCCAGUUCUACGUCGCCGAGUCCAUGUUUCGGGUAGCAGGGUGUCAUUUUGUUCUGUUGUGGAUGGUGCCAAGUGCUGGUGGGUUCAGCCUUCUUAUAUAAGUAUAUCCCUUCUAUAGUUUCUUUAAUGUGGACUGUCACUUAAGCUAGCAUGUAUUUCAAAUUUUCAAAUAUUCUAUAACAUUUUAAAGUGUAAUCCUUUUGAAACACUUUCUUUUGUAAUCAACUCUGAUGAUAUAUAUUGUAACCCAAUUAUAAUUUGU